CUGUCUAUCUGUUAUUAACACCAAAUUGCUAAGGAGGUGAAAAUACCUCUAUAAUUACAAAAGACGAGAAGACCCUAGAAAUUUUCUAUAAAGUAGUUAUUACUACUCUUAUUUUGUUGGGGCGACCAAAUAACAAGAAAACUUAUUUUAUAACCUAUAAGAAUUUUUUAAGCAAAUAAAUAAAAUUACUCUAGGGAUAACAGCAUAAUUAUUUAAUAGUUUGUGACCUCAAUGUUGGACUAAGGAAGGUUUAAUCCAGAAGAUUAAACAACACGUUCUGUUCGAACAAAAUACCUUACAUGAUCUGAG
This 309-nucleotide ribosomal RNA is filed under the name Humboldtiana durangoensis. Its description in RNAcentral is "partial 16S ribosomal RNA". The record is from RNAcentral. Lineage: Eukaryota; Metazoa; Mollusca; Gastropoda; Stylommatophora; Humboldtianidae.